RNAcentral lists this ribosomal RNA (317 nucleotides) under uncultured Agaricales. RNAcentral's name for it is "partial large subunit ribosomal RNA". It matches the Rfam family "Eukaryotic large subunit ribosomal RNA", at positions 40 to 350 of the family's 3401-position model. Lineage: Eukaryota; Fungi; Basidiomycota; Agaricomycetes; Agaricales. The record is from RNAcentral.
AUAUCAAUAAGCGGAGGAAAAGAAACUAACAAGGAUUCCCCUAGUAACUGCGAGUGAAGCGGGAAAAGCUCAAAUUUGAAAUCUGGCGGUUCUGAACCGUCCGAGUUGUAAUUUAGAGAAGCGUCUUCCGCGCCGGACCGUGCACAAGUCUCCUGGAAUGGAGCGUCAUAGAGGGUGAGAAUCCCGUCUUUGACACGGACUGCCAGGGCAUUGUGAUGCGCUCUCGAAGAGUCGAGUUGUUUGGGAAUGCAGCUCAAAAUGGGUGGUAAAUUCCAUCUAGAGCUAAAUAUUGGCGAGAGACCGAUAGCGCACAAGUA